CCCCGGCGAGGGGAGUGAAAAAGAACCUGAAACCGUGUACGUACAAGCAGUGGGAGCACAGGUUUACCUGUGUGACUGCGUACCUUUUGUAUAAUGGGUCAGCGACUUAUAUUCUGUAGCAAGGUUAACCGUAUAGGGGAGCCGUAGGGAAACCGAGUCUUAACCGGGCGUUAAGUUGCAGGGUAUAGACCCGAAACCCGGUGAUCUAGCCAUGGGCAGGUUGAAGGUUGGGUAACACUAACUGGAGGACCGAACCGACUAAUGUUGAAAAAUUAGCGGAUGACCUGUGGCUGGGGGUGAAAGGCCAAUCAAACCGGGAGAUAGCUGGUUCUCCCCGAAAGCUAUUUAGGUAGCGCCUCGUGAAUUCAUCUCCGGGGGUAGAGCACUGUUUCGGCUAGGGGGCCAUCCCGGCUUACCAACCCGAUGCAAACUGCGAAUACCGGAGAAUGUUAUCACGGGAGACACACGGCGGGUGCUAACGUCCGUCGUGAAGAGGGAAACAACCCAGACCGCCAGCUAAGGUCCCAAAGUCAUGGUUAAGUGGGAAACGAUGUGGGAAGGCCCAGACAGCCAGGAUGUUGGCUUAGAAGCAGCCAUCAUUUAAAGAAAGCGUAAUAGCUCACUGGUCGAGUCGGCCUGCGCGGAAGAUGUAACGGGGCUAAACCAUGCACCGAAGCUGCGGCAGCGAACGUAUCACCCAAGACAACUUUACGGAGUUGACGAUUGACGGAGCGAAGCGACGUCAAAGCGUUCAUUAAAGUCGAGUUGGCUUAGGGAUACGUUCGUUGGGUAGGGGAGCGUUCUGUAAGCCUGUGAAGGUGUGUCGUGAGGCAUGCUGGAGGUAUCAGAAGUGCGAAUGCUGACAUAAGUAACGAUAAAGCGGGUGAAAAGCCCGCUCGCCGGAAGACCAAGGGUUCCUGUCCAACGUUAAUCGGGGCAGGGUGAGUCGACCCCUAAGGCGAGGCCGAAAGGCGUAGUCGAUGGGAAACGGGUUAAUAUUCCCGUACUUGGUGUUACUGCGAAGGGGGGACGGAGAAGGCUAUGUUGGCCGGGCGACGGUUGUCCCGGUUUAAGCGUGUAGGUGUGUGUUCCAGGUAAAUCCGGUUCACUUUAACACUGAGGCGUGACGACGAGGCACUACGGUGCUGAAGCAACAAAUGCCCUGCUUCCAGGAAAAGCCUCUAAGCAUCAGGUAACACGAAAUCGUACCCCAAACCGACACAGGUGGUCAGGUAGAGAAUACCAAGGCGCUUGAGAGAACUCGGGUGAAGGAACUAGGCAAAAUGGUGCCGUAACUUCGGGAGAAGGCACGCUGACACGUAGGUGAAGUGAUUUACUCAUGGAGCUGAAGUCAGUCGAAGAUACCAGCUGGCUGCAACUGUUUAUUAAAAACACAGCACUGUGCAAACACGAAAGUGGACGUAUACGGUGUGACGCCUGCCCGGUGCCGGAA
RNAcentral lists this ribosomal RNA (1453 nucleotides) under Salmonella enterica subsp. enterica serovar Typhimurium. RNAcentral's name for it is "partial 23S ribosomal RNA". It matches the Rfam family "Bacterial large subunit ribosomal RNA", at positions 524 to 1874 of the family's 2925-position model. The record is from RNAcentral. Lineage: Bacteria; Pseudomonadati; Pseudomonadota; Gammaproteobacteria; Enterobacterales; Enterobacteriaceae.